Molecule: ribosomal RNA, 454 nt
Filed under: uncultured bacterium
Lineage: Bacteria
Description: bacterial SSU rRNA
Rfam family: Bacterial small subunit ribosomal RNA
Source: RNAcentral
UAUGGAAGGCAGCAGUGGGGAAUAUUGCACAAUGGGCGCAAGCCUGAUGCAGCCAUGCCGCGUGUAUGAAGAAGGCCUUCGGGUUGUAAAGUACUUUCAGUCGUGAGGAAGGUGUUAAGGUUAAUAACCUUAGCAAUUGACGUUAGCGACAGAAGAAGCACCGGCUAACUCCGUGCCAGCAGCCGCGGUAAUACGGAGGGUGCGAGCGUUAAUCGGAAUUACUGGGCGUAAAGGGCACGCAGGCGGUUAAUUAAGUUGGAUGUGAAUCCCCGGGCUUAACCUGGGAAUGGCAUUCAAGACUGGUUAGCUAGAGUCUUGUAGAGGGGGUAGAAUUCCAUGUGUAGCGGUGAAAUGCGUAGAGAUGUGGAGGAAUACCGGUGGCGAAGGCGGCCCCUGGGACAAAGACUGACGCUCAUGUGCGAAAGCGUGGGGAGCAAACAGGGAUUAGGAUACC